RNAcentral lists this ribosomal RNA (2472 nucleotides) under uncultured marine bacterium. RNAcentral describes it as "bacterial SSU rRNA". The stretch from base 1 to 1440 matches the Rfam family "Bacterial small subunit ribosomal RNA". The record is from RNAcentral.
AACGAACGCUGGCGGCAGGCCUAACACAUGCAAGUCGAGCGCUACCUUCGGGUGGAGCGGCGGACGGGUUAGUAACGCGUGGGAAUAUACCCAGUUCUAAGGAAUAGCCACUGGAAACGGUGAGUAAUACCUUAUACGCCCUUCGGGGGAAAGAUUUAUCGGAAUUGGAUUAGCCCGCGUUAGAUUAGAUAGUUGGUGGGGUAAUGGCCUACCAAGUCUACGAUCUAUAGCUGGUUUGAGAGGAUGAUCAGCAACACUGGGACUGAGACACGGCCCAGACUCCUACGGGAGGCAGCAGUGGGGAAUCUUAGACAAUGGGCGCAAGCCUGAUCUAGCCAUGCCGCGUGAGUGAUGAAGGCCCUAGGGUCGUAAAGCUCUUUCAACUGUGAAGAUAAUGACGGUAGCAGUAGAAGAAACCCCGGCUAACUCCGUGCCAGCAGCCGCGGUAAUACGGAGGGGGUUAGCGUUGUUCGGAAUUACUGGGCGUAAAGCGUACGUAGGCGGAUUAAUAAGUUAGAGGUGAAAUCCCAGGGCUCAACCCUGGAACUGCCUUUAAAACUGUUAGUCUUGAGAUCGAGAGAGGUGAGUGGAAUUCCAAGUGUAGAGGUGAAAUUCGUAGAUAUUUGGAGGAACACCAGUGGCGAAGGCGGCUCACUGGCUCGAUACUGACGCUGAGGUACGAAAGUGUGGGGAGCAAACAGGAUUAGAUACCCUGGUAGUCCACACCGUAAACGAUGAAUGCCAGACGUCAGCAAGCAUGCUUGUUGGUGUCACACCUAACGGAUUAAGCAUUCCGCCUGGGGAGUACGGUCGCAAGAUUAAAACUCAAAGGAAUUGACGGGGGCCCGCACAAGCGGUGGAGCAUGUGGUUUAAUUCGACGCAACGCGCAGAACCUUACCAACCCUUGACAUACUUGUCGCGGAUUCCAGAGAUGGAUUCCUUCAGUUCGGCUGGACAAUGUACAGGUGCUGCAUGGCUGUCGUCAGCUCGUGUCGUGAGAUGUUCGGUUAAGUCCGGCAACGAGCGCAACCCACGUCCUUAGUUACCAGCAUUUAGUUGGGUACCCUAAGGAGACUGCCGGUGAUAAGCCGGAGGAAGGUGUGGACGACGUCAAGUCAUCAUGGCCCUUACGAGUUGGGCUACACACGUGCUACAAUGGCAUCUACAGUGAGUUAAUCUCCAAAAGAUGUCUCAGUUCGGAUUGGGGUCUGCAACUCGACCCCAUGAAGUUGGAAUCGCUAGUAAUCGCGGAACAGCAUGCCGCGGUGAAUACGUUCCCGGGCCUUGUACACACCGCCCGUCACACCAUGGGAAUUGGGUCUACCCGAAGGUGGUGCGCCAACUAUUUAUAGGGGCAGCCAACCACGGUAGGUUCAGUGACUGGGGUGAAGUCGUAACAAGGUAGCCGUAGGGGAACCUGCGGCUGGAUCACCUCCUUUCUAAGGAUGAUCUUAGCUGAAAGUUUACUUUCACGUAGAUCACUUUUUAGCAGCUCUUAAAUGAGCUUUAGUAGUCUUCGGACUACAUUAUAGACCGAACCGUCCUCAUAUCUCUUCAGUAAUAAUAAUUUUGCAGGUCAUCGAUCUGUUAAGGGUCGGUAGCUCAGGUUGGUUAGAGCGCACGCCUGAUAAGCGUGAGGUCGGAGGUUCAAGUCCUCCUCGACCCACCAAAAAAUGGGGCGUUAGCUCAGCUGGGAGAGCACCUGCUUUGCAAGCAGGGGGUCAUCGGUUCGAUCCCGAUACGCUCCACCAUUUCCUUCAGAUUAUUAUAUCAAUUCCGAUUAGAUCAUUAAGAGCUGUGCGCAGUUUUUAAUCAUCCAAUCGGAUGGCGAACCUUCGGGUUCACUUUUACAUCGUUUAGAGAGCAUAUAAAACACGAGACGUAAGUUUCUUGUUUGAACCACUUCUUCGGGAGAGGUUAAUGAUUAAAUAUCUUAGGGCUGAAGAGCUUUGGGGCGCUAGAUUGUUAGCUGGUUCGCAGUAUCAUAGGUAACUAUGAAGCAUAAUCAGACUAGGGUGACCAACCCACUGUGCAUGUGCUGUUGGUGAGCGUUCCAGUGCGGUUCGCAAGCUAAUUCAAAGAUAAUUUACAGUCUUUCCAAGUCAAAUACACUAACCAAAGUCACAGUGAAUUAGAUCUACUGUGACAUGAAGGGAUGCUCGAAAGAGCAUUCAUUCGCUGGAAUGUGCGUGACCUUCCUGCCAAGGGAGGGUUACAUUUGAGUUCAAAAAUAAAUGUUGUUUUUGCAAUAGCAAAACAAAUGACGUGCCUAUCGCAAGAUAGGUGCUGAUGAACAAUUUUCUCAAAAAAAAAUGACGACUUCUGUUCUAGAAAUAGUCUGACUAUUUCUGGAUCAGAUCAAGCGCGAGAAGGGCGUUUGGUGGAUGCCUUGGCAGUAAGAGGCGAUGAAGGACGUGAUACUCUGCGAUAAGCUUUGGGAAGUCGAGAAUAGACGCUAUACCCAAAGAUCU